AGUUUUGCGCAGUGGCAGUAUCAUAGCCAAUGAGGUUUAUCUGAGGCACGAUUAUUGCUAAUUAAAAUAGAUAAAUCAGAGCUCAUCGAAAAUAAAAACUUUUGUGCUUCAAAGA
This 115-nucleotide small nuclear RNA is filed under the name Chinchilla lanigera (long-tailed chinchilla). Its description in RNAcentral is "U4 spliceosomal RNA (ENSCLAG00000020794.1)". It matches the Rfam family "U4 spliceosomal RNA". Rfam says of the family: U4 small nuclear RNA (U4 snRNA) is a component of the major U2-dependent spliceosome. The structure of U4 snRNA from yeast and human has been reported. U4 snRNA presents a k-turn RNA motif in the 5p-SL related to recognition of Snu13 protein. The record is from Rfam by way of RNAcentral. Lineage: Eukaryota; Metazoa; Chordata; Mammalia; Rodentia; Chinchillidae.